This 490-nucleotide ribosomal RNA is filed under the name uncultured bacterium. Its description in RNAcentral is "partial 16S ribosomal RNA". It matches the Rfam family "Bacterial small subunit ribosomal RNA", at positions 30 to 507 of the family's 1533-position model. The record is from RNAcentral.
AUUGAACGCUGGCGGCAGACCUAACACAUGCCAGUCGAACGGUAACAGGAAGAAGCUUGCUUCUUUGCUGACGAGUGGCGGACGGGUGAGUAAUGUCUGGGAAACUGCCUGAUGGAGGGGGAUAACUACUGGAAACGGUAGCUAAUACCGCAUAACGUCGCAAGACCAAAGAGGGGGACCUUCGGGCCUCUUGCCAUCGGAUGUGCCCAGAUGGGAUUAGCUAGUAGGUGGGGUAACGGCUCACCUAGGCGACGAUCCCUAGCUGGUCUGAGAGGAUGACCAGCCACACUGGAACUGAGACACGGUCCAGACUCCUACGGGAGGCAGCAGUGGGGAAUAUUGCACAAUGGGCGCAAGCCUGAUGCAGCCAUGCCGCGUGUAUGAAGAAGGCCUUCGGGUUGUAAAGUACUUUCAGCGGGGAGGAAGGGAGUAAAGUUAAUACCUUUGCUCAUUGACGUUACCCGCAGAAGAAGCACCGGCUAACUCCGUG